CUGGCCUUGACAUCCUGCGAACUUUCUAGAGAUAGAUUGGUGCCUUCGGGAACGCAGUGACAGGUGCUGCAUGGCCGUCGUCAGCUCGUGUCGUGAGAUGUUGGGUUAAGUCCCGUAACGAGCGCAACCCCUAUCCCUAGUUGCUAGCAGGUAAUGCUGAGAACUCCAGGGAGACUGCCGGUGACAAACCGGAGGAAGGUGGGGAUGACGUCAGGUCAUCAUGGCCCUUACGGCCAGGGCUACACACGUGCUACAAUGGCGCGUACAGAGGGCUGCCAACUCGCGAGAGUGAGCCAAUCCCUUAAAACGCGUCGUAGUCCGGAUCGGAGUCUGCAACUCGACUCCGUGAAGUCGGAAUCGCUAGUAAUCGCGAAUCAGAAUGUCGCGGUGAAUACGUUCCC
Molecule: ribosomal RNA, 401 nt
Filed under: uncultured bacterium
Lineage: Bacteria
Description: bacterial SSU rRNA
Rfam family: Bacterial small subunit ribosomal RNA
Source: RNAcentral